UACAGAGGUCUCAAGCGUUGUUCGGAUUCAUUGGGCGUAAAGGGUGCGUAGGUGGCGGGGUAAGUCAGGUGUGAAAUCUCGGAGCUCAACUCCGAAACUGCACUUGAUACUGCCUUGCUCGAGUACUGGAGAGGAGAUUGGAAUUUACGGUGUAGCAGUGAAAUGCGUAGAUAUCGUAAGGAAGACCAGUGGCGAAGGCUAAUCUCUGGACAGUUACUGACACUGAGGCACGAAGGCCAGGGGAGCAAACGGG
Molecule: ribosomal RNA, 253 nt
Filed under: uncultured bacterium
Lineage: Bacteria
Description: partial 16S ribosomal RNA
Rfam family: Bacterial small subunit ribosomal RNA
Source: RNAcentral